UAGGGGAACCUGCGGAAGGAUCAUUA
Molecule: non-coding RNA, 26 nt
Filed under: Bombyx mori (domestic silkworm)
Lineage: Eukaryota; Metazoa; Arthropoda; Insecta; Lepidoptera; Bombycidae
Also listed under: 4 other names
Source: RNAcentral